GAAUAUUGGACAAUGGGCGCAAGCCUGAUCCAGCCAUACCGCGGGGGUGAAGAAGGCCUUCGGGUUGUAAAGCCCUUUUGUUGGGAAAGAAAAGCAGUCGGCUAAUACCCGGUUGUUCUGACGGUACCAAAAGCAUCAGCACCGGCCAACUUCGUACCAGAAGCCGCGGUACUACGAAGGGUGCAAGCGUUACUCGGAAUUCCUGGGCGGAAAGCGUGCGUAGGUGGUUGUUUAAGUCUGUUGUGAGAGCCCUGGGCUCAACCUGGGAAUUGCAGUGGAUACUGGGCGGUUAGAGUGUGGUAGAGGGUAGUGGAAUUCCCGGUGUAGCAGUGAAAUGCGUAGAGAUCGGGAGGAACAUCCAUGGCGAAGGCAGCUACCUGGACCAACACUGACACUGAGGCACGAAAGCGUGGGGAGCAAACAG
RNAcentral lists this ribosomal RNA (424 nucleotides) under uncultured bacterium. Its description in RNAcentral is "partial 16S ribosomal RNA". It matches the Rfam family "Bacterial small subunit ribosomal RNA", at positions 359 to 775 of the family's 1533-position model. The record is from RNAcentral.